GGGACUUUAACUCAGUGGCAGAGUGCCUGCCUGGCAAGCAUGAGGUCCUGAGUUCAAUUCCAGGACCA
This 68-nucleotide transfer RNA is filed under the name Cavia porcellus (domestic guinea pig). It matches the Rfam family "tRNA". From Rfam's summary of the family: Transfer RNA (tRNA) molecules are approximately 80 nucleotides in length. Their secondary structure includes four short double-helical elements and three loops (D, anti-codon, and T loops). Further hydrogen bonds mediate the characteristic L-shaped molecular structure. tRNAs have two regions of fundamental functional importance: the anti-codon, which is responsible for specific mRNA codon recognition, and the 3' end, to which the tRNAs corresponding amino acid is attached (by aminoacyl-tRNA synthetases). tRNAs cope with the degeneracy of the genetic code in two manners: having more than one tRNA (with a specific anti-codon) for a particular amino acid; and 'wobble' base-pairing, i.e. permitting non-standard base-pairing at the 3rd anti-codon position. The record is from Rfam by way of RNAcentral. Lineage: Eukaryota; Metazoa; Chordata; Mammalia; Rodentia; Caviidae.